AGAGUUUGAUCCUGGCUCAGGAUGAACGCUAGCGGCAGGCCUAACACAUGCAAGUCGAGGGGUAGAACACUUCGGUGUUUGAGACCGGCGCACGGGUGCGUAACGCGUAUGCAAUCUACCUUUUACAGGGGAAUAGCCCAGAGAAAUUUGGAUUAAUGCCCCAUAGUAUAUAUCAUUCGCAUGUUUGAUAUAUUAAAGUUCCAACGGUAAAAGAUGAGCAUGCGUCCCAUUAGUUAGUUGGUAAGGUAACGGCUUACCAAGACGAUGAUGGGUAGGGGUCCUGAGAGGGAGAUCCCCCACACUGGUACUGAGACACGGACCAGACUCCUACGGGAGGCAGCAGUGAGGAAUAUUGGACAAUGGGCGCAAGCCUGAUCCAGCCAUGCCGCGUGCAGGAAGAAGCAUCUAUGGUGUGUAAACUGCUUUUGUACGGGAAGAAACACUCCCUCGUGAGGGAGCUGACGGUACCGUAAGAAUA
This 478-nucleotide ribosomal RNA is filed under the name uncultured bacterium. RNAcentral's name for it is "bacterial SSU rRNA". It matches the Rfam family "Bacterial small subunit ribosomal RNA", at positions 8 to 488 of the family's 1533-position model. The record is from RNAcentral.